This 796-nucleotide long non-coding RNA is filed under the name Struthio camelus australis. Its description in RNAcentral is "lncRNA (ENSSCUG00000004800.1)". Lineage: Eukaryota; Metazoa; Chordata; Aves; Struthioniformes; Struthionidae. The record is from RNAcentral.
GAGCCCUCAAGUGCUAAGUAAAACUUAAGCUAAGCUUAACCCCAUAAAGCUUAUAUACAAAGCCACGAGAAAGACAGACUCUUGGAGCUAAAUUUGGAAAUGCUGCAAGACAUUAGUUAAACUGGACCCAUUUGCUGCUGCCUUCAGUGCCCGUAGAGAUGCUUGUAUCCACGGAGCUGAAUUAGGAGGCCAAUAUGAGAGGAAGUCACGUUGCAGUGAGGGGAGGGGAGCGCUAAGGUUCUUGCCUGUGCCAGAGGACCUGGAUUUGCUGCCCACCUCCACCUUCUCACUGGUUGACUCCUGUGAUACAAUAUUCACCAGCAGUGACUGGGACAAGAAGAAAAACAAAGGAACCAAGGAGAAACUACCAAACUGCCAGUCUCGGGUGCAUUUUGGAAACAGCUACACAACCAGAGGAGAAGGAGGAAUGAAAGAGGCAGUAAACUCUCCACAAAGAGCAAUGCAUUCCAUGAAAAGGGCAGUGGAUUUCUGAGUAGGGUCCUGACACAAUCAUCCCUUCUGAUACAGGCCCCAGUGGAUGCCUGUCUGGUUCCCUCUCUAAUAACAGAGAAAGCAGGCUUGUAUGCCGUCAGCCAUAAAUGGACACCUGUUUGUGUCUAGCCACAUUUACCCUGGCUAGUUUGAAAACUGUUGAUCAAUUUCUGCAUGGAAGAGACCUUUUUUUUUUUUGGUCAUAAGACCAUCAUAGCAAAAGAGAUUUGUCAUGAACCGUAUUUAAAAUGGGGAUGCUUCAAUUCCUGCUAAAGCUGUGCAAAUAAAAAGACAGUUUAAGUCA